ACGCAGCAACGCCGCGUGGGUGAUGAAGGUCUUCGGAUUGUAAAGCCCUGUUUUCUGGGACGAUAAUGACGGUACCAGAGGAGGAAGCCACGGCUAACUACGUGCCAGCAGCCGCGGUAAUACGUAGGUGGCGAGCGUUGUCCGGAUUUACUGGGCGUAAAGGGUGCGUAGGCGGAUGUUUAAGUGGGAUGUGAAAUCCCCGGGCUUAACCUGGGGGCUGCAUUCCAAACUGGAUAUCUAGAGUGCAGGAGAGGAAAGCGGAAUUCCUAGUGUAGCGGUGAAAUGCGUAGAGAUUAGGAAGAACACCAGUGGCGAAGGCGGCUUUCUGGACUGUAACUGACGCUGAGGCACGAAAGCGUGGGUAGCAAACAGGAUUAGAUACCCUGGUAGUCCACGCCGUAAACGAUGGAUACUAGGUGUAGGGGGUAUCAACUCCCUCUGUGCCGCAGUUAACACAAUAAGUAUCCCGCCUGGGGAGUACGGUCGCAAGAUUAAAACUCAAAGGAAUUGACGGGGGCCCGCACAAGCAGCGGAGCAUGUGGUUUAAUUCGAAGCAACGCGAAGAACCUUACCUGGACUUGACAUCCCUUGCAUAGCCUAGAGAUAGGUGAAGCCCUUCGGGGCAAGGAGACAGGUGGUGCAUGGUUGUCGUCA
Molecule: ribosomal RNA, 654 nt
Filed under: Clostridium botulinum
Lineage: Bacteria; Bacillati; Bacillota; Clostridia; Eubacteriales; Clostridiaceae
Also listed under: 1 other name
Description: bacterial SSU rRNA
Rfam family: Bacterial small subunit ribosomal RNA
Source: RNAcentral